AGUGAACGCUGGCGGUAGGCCUAACACAUGCAAGUCGAACGGCAGCACAGUAAGAGCUUGCUCUUACGGGUGGCGAGUGGCGGACGGGUGAGGAAUACAUCGGAAUCUACUUUUUCGUGGGGGAUAACGUAGGGAAACUUACGCUAAUACCGCAUACGACGUACGGGUGAAAGCAGGGGAUCUUCGGACCUUGCGCGAGUGAAUGAGCCGAUGUCGGAUUAGCUAGUUGGCGGGGUAAAGGCCCACCAAGGCGACGAUCCGUAGCUGGUCUGAGAGGAUGAUCAGCCACACUGGAACUGAGACACGGUCCAGACUCCUACGGGAGGCAGCAGUGGGGAAUAUUGGACAAUGGGCGCAAGCCUGAUCCAGCCAUACCGCGUGGGUGAAGAAGGCCUUCGGGUUGUAAAGCACUUUUGUUGGGAAAGAAAAGCAGCAGGUUAAUACCCCGCUGUUCUGACGGUACCCAAAGAAUAAGCACCGGCUAACUUCGUG
Molecule: ribosomal RNA, 492 nt
Filed under: uncultured bacterium
Lineage: Bacteria
Description: partial 16S ribosomal RNA
Rfam family: Bacterial small subunit ribosomal RNA
Source: RNAcentral